This is a long non-coding RNA of Mastomys coucha (southern multimammate mouse), 424 nucleotides long. RefSeq lists it as uncharacterized. The transcript is spliced from 2 exons. Lineage: Eukaryota; Metazoa; Chordata; Mammalia; Rodentia; Muridae. The record is from RefSeq and is a predicted model, not a curated record.
UUUGAAUUUUCAAAAGCCCAAGUCAGUCCCAGUGUCCCUCUCUUCCUGUUGUUUACAGAUCUGAUGUAGAACUCUUAGCUACUUCUCCAGCACCAUGUUUGUCUGCAUGCUGCCAUUCUCUCCACCAUGUUGACAGUGGACUAGACCUCUGAAAUGAUAUGGAGGAUCAUUGAAAGCAUAUUAUUGAGUUGUGGCCUUGUGCAUCCUUCAAGAUGUAACAGCAUACAUAUGUGAUGUUUACUCUCUUCACUGUCAGAGAAGUAAACUGUUACUGGGUGACUGAAUUUGGAAUCAUCCAGAGACACUACUGAUUGUAUAGAUGGACAUUGUCAGGGGUAACAUUCUCUAUGAAUGUGGGAAUCUUGUAAAAUUGGGUCCCAGAUUCUGAUAUGACUUGAUUUUGAUGAAAUAAAAACAGAAGAAA